RNAcentral lists this non-coding RNA (112 nucleotides) under Fragilariopsis kerguelensis. The record is from RNAcentral. Lineage: Eukaryota; Bacillariophyta; Bacillariophyceae; Bacillariales; Bacillariaceae.
UUUUUGUCCAAGCAGCCCACCGGCGACUCACAACAGCACCACGAGAUGCUCGCCGACCCAUCCAACCAGUUUCUGGUCAUGACGUGUUACAAAUACAGAGAUAAAGGGGAAA